UUGGUUAUCGGGGCUCUUUGACCAAGCUUCGCCGCACUGGUCGGUCGCUCGUUGUUGAACGAUGGCUGGAAGGUGACGGGGCCGAUUCCGGGUAUCAACUCGCCAAUUGAUGAUGGCCGUGGCCGGGAAUUGAAUUCAGGUGGCCAGGGUGUCACAGUGCAGUAGCCGUAACCGCUGGGCGACACCGACCACGCCGGCUACCCCUCCACUGUCAAAACCAACAGCAGCAACACAACAACACAACACAACAACACAACACAACAACACAACACGAGAGGCGUAGUCGUGCGUGCGUGCGCCGACCGAACCCGUGACCUGACGAUAGCCAAAAUCGUUCCCCUGCGGCAGAGCAAACUGGCAAAGUUGCCCGCAUAGCAAACGCCCGGGUGUCAAGCGUUUCCCGGCGGCAGUUUGGUCUGCUCCGGCCGUUGGAGCAGCAGCAACAACAACAGAAGCAGCAGCAGCAGCAAAGUACCUCUUGGCAGAGGUGGGACAAAGUCAUUGUUAUGCAAGUCCAAGUCGAGUCUGAAGUCAUCAAAUUCAUGACUCGAGUCUGACUCGAGUCCAAGUCACAUGACUCGAGUCCACACCUCAGAGGUGGGACAAAGUCAUUGUUAUGCAAGUCCAAGUCGAGUCUGAAGUCAUCAAAUUCAUGACUCGAGUCUGACUCGAGUCCAAGUCACAUGACUCGAGUCCACACCUCUGCCUCUUGGUAUAUAGGUGCUGCCUCGGGAGCGAGGUGGCCGGAGAGACGAGUAUACGGCGUUAUUCACGAUGUUCCCCAAGAGCGCGUUACAUCCAUCGCAUCUCAUCUGAAAGGGGGCAGCCUCUCCAGUGACAGCUGACCAGCAAACGGGCAUCGGGUUGCCAUUGGCACUUGAAGGAUUUAGGAGCCGCGGCCCUCGGGGUGUGGGACACCACCACAGGUGUGGACACCACCACGGGUGUGAACAGCACCACAGGUGAGGGAGACCUCUACAGGUGCGCGCAACAAUUGAAUGGAGCUCUGACGCAACAAAGCGACGAUCACCUGCACAGACAGGCGAGCGACUCGUGGCGCCCUGGCUGUCCUUUCAGUGUGCGCUGCGUGCGCGUGCGUGUGUAUGGAUGUAAGCUACGUGAGGACACUUAACGUGGCCUCAAGGUGCACAUAGCCUGGCACAAGUGUCGUGGUGACGUCACCGCCACUUAGUGGCGAAUGGCGGUUGUUGUUGUUGCUACGUGAAUGUGUUAAUGUCUUCGUGUUAAUGUGUAUGCGUGUUAUGUACGUGUGCUCCUGUGCAUGUGCAUCGUGUGUUAUGUAGGUGAUGUGUGUGGGCGUGCCGUGUGCGUUAAUGUGUGUGCUCGCUAGCAGCACUUUCCCCAACAGUCUGUUCAUGCUUUACGGGGAAUAUUUGUCUUUGUGUCUGUGCUGUGCGUGUGUGUUAUGCGUGUGCGCGGUAUACGUGUGCUGUGUGUGUAUUAACUAGUGGGGAGCGGUAGUGUAGCGGUUCGUGCGCCGACCCGAGUUCGAUUCCGGCUCAUGGCCAACACCAGCGACUAUUAUUUGAACCUGUCCUGGGCCUCCCCUAGGUCAACUCAGUCUCAAAUGAGUACCUGGUGCGGUGUGUUGUAAACAUCGCCACUCGGGAGACAAAGGCGGCCGGACGCGGUGUUGGUCACCCGCCCCCUCGUGCGUCGUGCCGGCCUUCAUAGGCGCUCGCUAACAGCACUUGCCCCAACAGUCUCUCAAGGCUAUACGGGGGAUCUUGUUCUGUGUGUGCGUGUCAUGUUGUGCGUGACACGAGCGCAGGAUGAAGGAGAGCGACCCAUAAGACCCAACCACUGCGCCACCGCUCCACCCACGCGCGACGUUUCCUUGUCCAAAAUAUCAAAUCGAUUCGUUGGCUGAUGGAUCGAUAUUAUGAUGAUCGUUGCAGCAAUGGCUCCAACACGUCAAUCUCCUUGCACCGAUCAAUCAAUCGCACUCAUCUGUUGAUUCUUAACGAAUAUAAUUAGACGUGGGUGUGUGUGUGGGGGGAGGUGAAGU
This is a long non-coding RNA of Lethenteron reissneri (Far Eastern brook lamprey), 2029 nucleotides long. RefSeq lists it as uncharacterized. Lineage: Eukaryota; Metazoa; Chordata; Hyperoartia; Petromyzontiformes; Petromyzontidae. The record is from RefSeq and is a predicted model, not a curated record.